AGAAUAUCAGCUUUGGGUGCUGGUGAUGGGGUAGUUACCUCUUCCUUGA
This 49-nucleotide transfer RNA is filed under the name Odobenus rosmarus rosmarus (Atlantic walrus). Its description in RNAcentral is "partial tRNA-Pro". The record is from RNAcentral. Lineage: Eukaryota; Metazoa; Chordata; Mammalia; Carnivora; Odobenidae.